RNAcentral lists this transfer RNA (85 nucleotides) under Felis catus (domestic cat). It matches the Rfam family "tRNA". From Rfam's summary of the family: Transfer RNA (tRNA) molecules are approximately 80 nucleotides in length. Their secondary structure includes four short double-helical elements and three loops (D, anti-codon, and T loops). Further hydrogen bonds mediate the characteristic L-shaped molecular structure. tRNAs have two regions of fundamental functional importance: the anti-codon, which is responsible for specific mRNA codon recognition, and the 3' end, to which the tRNAs corresponding amino acid is attached (by aminoacyl-tRNA synthetases). tRNAs cope with the degeneracy of the genetic code in two manners: having more than one tRNA (with a specific anti-codon) for a particular amino acid; and 'wobble' base-pairing, i.e. permitting non-standard base-pairing at the 3rd anti-codon position. Lineage: Eukaryota; Metazoa; Chordata; Mammalia; Carnivora; Felidae. The record is from Rfam by way of RNAcentral.
GCCUGGGUGGCUCAGUGGGUUGAGUGUCUGACUUCAGCUCAGGUCAUGAUCUCACACUCCGUGAGUUCAAGCCCCGCGUCAGGCU